UACGUAGGUGGCAAGCGUUAUCCGGAUUUAUUGGGUUUAAAGGGUGCGUAGGCGGGCUGUUAAGUCAGCGGUCAAAUGUCGGGGCUCAACCCCGUCGUGCCGUUGAAACUGGCGUUCUUGAGUGAGCGAGAAGUAUGCGGAAUGCGUGGUGUAGCGGUGAAAUGCAUAGAUAUCACGCAGAACUCCGAUUGCGAAGGCAGCAUACCGGCGCUCAACUGACGCUCAUGCACGAAAGUGUGGGUAUCGAACAGG
This 252-nucleotide ribosomal RNA is filed under the name uncultured Bacteroidales bacterium. Its description in RNAcentral is "partial 16S ribosomal RNA". It matches the Rfam family "Bacterial small subunit ribosomal RNA", at positions 524 to 776 of the family's 1533-position model. The record is from RNAcentral. Lineage: Bacteria; Pseudomonadati; Bacteroidota; Bacteroidia; Bacteroidales.